This 257-nucleotide ribosomal RNA is filed under the name uncultured bacterium. Its description in RNAcentral is "partial 16S ribosomal RNA". It matches the Rfam family "Bacterial small subunit ribosomal RNA", at positions 524 to 776 of the family's 1533-position model. The record is from RNAcentral.
UACGUAGGGUGCAAGCGUUAUCCGGAAUUAUUGGGCGUAAAGAGCUCGUAGGCGGUCUGUCGCGUCGGGCUGUGAAAACUCGGGGCUCAACUCCGAGCUUGCAGUCGAUACGGGCAGACUAGAGUUCGGCAGGGGAGACUGGAAUUCCUGGUGUAGCGGUGAAAUGCGCAGAGUAUCAGGAGGAACACCGAUGGCGAAGGCAGGUCUCUGGGCAUUAACUGACGCUGAGGAGCGAAAAGCAUGGGGGAGCGAACAGG